UACGGAGGGUGCGAGCGUUGUCCGGAAUCAUUGGGCGUAAAGGGCGCGUAGGUGGCCCGGUGAGUCUUUGGUGAAAGCGCGGGGCUCAACCCUGCGUCGGCCAGGGAUACUGCCGCGGCUCGAGCACUGUAGAGGCAGGCGGAAUUCCGGGUGUAGCGGUGGAAUGCGUAGAGAUCCGGAAGAACACCGGUGGCGAAGGCGGCCUGCUGGGCAGUGGCUGACGCUGAGGCGCGACAGCGUGGGGAGCAAACAGG
Molecule: ribosomal RNA, 254 nt
Filed under: uncultured bacterium
Lineage: Bacteria
Description: partial 16S ribosomal RNA
Rfam family: Bacterial small subunit ribosomal RNA
Source: RNAcentral